This 560-nucleotide long non-coding RNA is filed under the name Homo sapiens (human). RNAcentral's name for it is "HSALNT0116113". Lineage: Eukaryota; Metazoa; Chordata; Mammalia; Primates; Hominidae. The record is from RNAcentral.
AAGCUGUUCCCGAACACCUUGGCACGUGUCGUCAGGACUUCCUGAAGCUGCGUCACAGGCGUGCAUCCUUGACCUUGGCAAAAUAAACUUGCUAAAUUAACUGAGACCUGUCUCAGAUUUUGGGGGUUCACAUUUUGGUAACCACAGGGGGAUUCUGAGUGAAGAUGCCCCUGGCCUGUGACAAAUCUCCUGUGGGUGCUUGGUACCCGCAUCAGCUAACUUUAUGGCUCAAACCAAUGGGACAACUUGCUGAGGCCUGUGAGCACCUCCUCAGUGAAUCCCUGACCUUUCAAAAUUUGGUCAAGAUCUAAAGUUUAUUUUGCUGUACAACUUCUUUUUUUUUUUUGAGUUUUACUUGCUUCCAACAAGGAAGGCAUGUCUUCCUACUUCCAUGACGAUGGAAAGCAGGUAACCCCUUUGUGGAGUUUGAGCUCGCUGCCAGCAGGGAAGAGGAGUUUUAUUUUUCCCUGCUGCUAGGAUGGGAGAGUGAAGUCUACAGCCUGAGACCCAUCACAAGGUCAUUUCAAUAUCAGAGUAAAGGGCAACAAUGUGUGGUAAUG